RNAcentral lists this ribosomal RNA (495 nucleotides) under uncultured bacterium. Its description in RNAcentral is "partial 16S ribosomal RNA". It matches the Rfam family "Bacterial small subunit ribosomal RNA", at positions 28 to 507 of the family's 1533-position model. The record is from RNAcentral.
GAUGAACGCUGGCGGCGUGCCUAAUACAUGCAAGUAGAACGCUGAAGGAGGAGCUUGCUCUUCUGGAUGAGUUGCGCACGGGUGAGUAACGCGUAGGUAACCUGCCUGGUAGCGGGGGAUAACUAUUGGAAACGAUAGCUAAUACCGCAUGACAACAGUUAUUGCAUGAUAACUGUUUAAAAGGGGCAACUGCUCCACUACCAGAUGGACCUGCGUUGUAUUAGCUAGUUGGUGAGGUAACGGCUCACCAAGGCGACGAUACCUAGCCGACCUGAGAAGGGGGUUCGGCACACUGGGACUGGGACACCGCCCAGACUUCUACCGGAAGGCGCAGUAGGGAAACUUCCGGAAUGGACGGAAGGCUGAACGAGCAACGCCGCGGGAGGGGAGAAGGGUCUCGGAUCGUAAAGCUCUGUUGAUAGGGAAGAACGAGUGUGGGAGUGGACAGUGCACGUUGUGACGGUAUCUAACCAGAAAGGCACGGCUAACUACGUG